Molecule: ribosomal RNA, 253 nt
Filed under: uncultured bacterium
Lineage: Bacteria
Description: partial 16S ribosomal RNA
Rfam family: Bacterial small subunit ribosomal RNA
Source: RNAcentral
UCCGUAGGGUGCGAGCGUUGUCCGGAAUUAUUGGGCGUAAAGGGCUCGUAGGCGGUUUGUCGCGUCGGGAGUGAAAACCUUGGGCUUAACUCAGGGCUUGCUUUUGAUACGGGCAGACUAGAGGUAUGCAGGGGAGAACGGAAUUCCUGGUGUAGCGGUGAAAUGCGCAGAUAUCAGGAGGAACACCGGUGGCGAAGGCGGUUCUCUGGGCAUGAUCUGACGCUGAGGAGCGAAAGUGUGGGGAGCGAACAGG